UGGUCACUGGCGAGGGAACAAAGGGCCGCUGGGCAUCUCCGCCUCUUUGAUGAUGUGGAGUUUUCAAUUAAGUGAAAACGGGAGGCGUGUCUCCUCACAGGUGCCUGGUCUGAGCACCAAGCAGCCAAGGCGGCCGCGGGGUGUCUCGAGGCUGGAACCGUCAGGCCAGAAUGUGGGCUGUCAGAAGAAAGAACACCGUUGCAAAUCUGAUCAGAUCUCCCCUGUGGUCCUGAAAUCGCUGGAGAGGGGAUUCACAUCCAGGUGACACAGGAGUGACGAGGGCUUGACCCAAUCAGCCAGCAGCCAGCACUUCCGAAGGGAUCCCACUUGCCAGACAUGUUCCAAACAGGUCGUGGAUACUGACUCAGCCAAUCCCCCCACCCUGCAGGGUGGGUGCUAUUACAGCUUCCCUGUGGAAGGGGAUACCCAGGGAGGGAGGAGACUGCAGGACACACAGCCAGCAAGGAGCCUGUGGACAGAGCAGCUCAGGGGUCUUGGGGGCAGGUCCCGGGUCUCCAUGUGGGGGCGAGAGGGAGGGGUGGGGACUGGGGCAAGCUGCAGAGCUCAAGCCUGGACUUGGGGCCCCCACGUGCUGCCAGGGGAGGGUCUGGGCCCAGGUGGCCCCUCUCCUGAGACCUUAAGAGAAUCAGAUUCCCAAGGAAAUCUCAAGGUUUUUGCAUGUUGACAAUAGAUUCACUUUUUCCCCAAAACACAGGAGGGAUGAACUAGACACCUUCCUGGCUGGUUUUGGUCCACGGUGUAAACUCUGACUCACAGAAAAUCAUUCUGCAAAGUCGUGAGCAUCAGGGCAUGUUGGU
RNAcentral lists this long non-coding RNA (818 nucleotides) under Bos indicus x Bos taurus (hybrid cattle). Its description in RNAcentral is "lncRNA (ENSBIXG00005003083.1)". The record is from RNAcentral. Lineage: Eukaryota; Metazoa; Chordata; Mammalia; Artiodactyla; Bovidae.